RNAcentral lists this long non-coding RNA (364 nucleotides) under Gallus gallus (chicken). RNAcentral describes it as "lncRNA (ENSGALG00010000781.1)". Lineage: Eukaryota; Metazoa; Chordata; Aves; Galliformes; Phasianidae. The record is from RNAcentral.
GGGAGAUGGGGAGGGGGAGGACGGACAGCAUUACGGGUUGGGGUGAUGGGGAAGGGAAGAAAGGGAGCAGGAAAGAGGAAAUAGGAGCGGGGAGUGUCUAUAGGUACAGAUUGGGUGAUGGGGAAGGAAGAAAAGGAGCAGGAAAGAGGAAAUGGGAGCGAGGAGUGUCCAUAGGUACAGAUUGGGUGAUGGGGAAGGGAAGAAGGGCAGCAGGAAAGAUAGGAAAUAGGAGCAAGGAGUCUAUAGGUACAGAUUGGGGUGAUGGGGAAGGAAGAAAAGGAGCAGGAAAAAGGAAAUAGGAGCGAGGAGUGUCCAUAGGUACAGAUUGGGGUGAUGGGGAAGGGAAGAUGUGAAGCAGGAAUGA